This 442-nucleotide long non-coding RNA is filed under the name Mytilus galloprovincialis (Mediterranean mussel). The record is from RNAcentral. Lineage: Eukaryota; Metazoa; Mollusca; Bivalvia; Mytilida; Mytilidae.
GUUUCAAAAAAUUUGGAGCAUUUUGAUAUUUUUGAAAUUUUUGGUGUAGUUUCCAUAGCAACAUAGUAGUUCCAAUGUUUGCCAAAAUCAUACCAAAACCAGCAUAUAGUGGGCACCUACAUUGUAUCAAAAUAUAAUAAUUCUAAGUUUAAGCAUAACGUAUUAUUUCACCAAAACCAAAUCUAGAUUUUUUCACAAUUGUGCAGUUUCCAUGGAAACGGCGGCCAUAUUUUACCAUUCCAUAGCAAGGUGCACAACUUCACAUGGGGGUCUUCAUUAUAGUAGAGUUCCAUCAACAUUGGUCCAUUGGAUUCCAAGAACUCGCGCGGACAAAAUUUUGUUGCAAGAAAAAAAAAUAAAAAUAAUAAUAAGAAAAAAAAGAAACGUAGAAUAACAAUACGUCACCCCAACUCCGUUGAGGGUGCCAUAAUAAAAAAAAAAA